AGGUUCCUAGGUCCUCUGCCCUGAGCCUGUGCCCCUGAGAGGGCCCUGAGGGCAGAGGGCGCUUCCUGAGACACGGAUAGGCUCACUGGCUGGCGGUGGUGUCACUGUGUCGCCCGGCGACAGAUACAGGGUGUUUGCUCUGGAAUCUGCCAACGACUCCCAUCCAGAUCCCGGCUGAGGGCUGGGCCCUGUUAGGCCGGGUCCCCACAGCUUCUCCAGGCACCUGGCACACGGGGAAUGAGUGAGUGACUCGGCCAGGAUGAAAGCUGGAGCCUCUGCACGGUCCAAGCAGGGAGGCGAUGGCUCGCGUCACAGUCCAAGCAGCCAGGCGACGGUCCUGGCUGACGGGCUCUGGACACAACGAGAAGUUGGCGUCUACACCCGGAAGAGGGCCCUCAUCAGGCCCCAACACGCCGGCACCCUCAUCUCAGACCUGUGGCCUCCAAAACAGUGAGAAAUCAACCCUGCUGUUGAUCAGCCACGCGUCUAUGGCAGCCAAACAGACUCAGGCAGGGUCUGGGGCCUGGGGGUGGGUUUAAUGUUUAUUUAUUGAUUUAUUUAUUUUUAAUUUUUUUUUGAGACAGGUCUCAUUCUAUUGCCCAGGCUGAGUGCAGUGGUGCAGUCACAGCUCACUACAGCCUUGAAUUCCUGGGCUCAAGCAAUCCUCCCACCUCAGCCUCCCAAGUAGCUGGGACCACAGGUGCACACCACCACACCUGGCUAUUUUUCUUUUGCAGAGAUGGGGUUUCCUUAUGUCUCCUGGGCUGGUGUUGAAGUCCUGAGCUCAAGAAAUCCUCCCAUCUCAACCUCCCAAAGUGCUGGGCAGUGCCCAGCUGAGCGGGUGGGUCCACUGGAUGAGACCACAGGGACUACCACCUGCCUCGGUCCCAGGAGGGCCCGGAGGACACAGCCAUAGUGGAGCGGCCAGCAUGGUGCUAGCACAAAGCAGAGCUGCUGAGAAGCUCCUGGAGAGCUGAGCUGCGUGGACGAUGUUAGCAGGAGGAAGUGCUGCCCCGGGUCCUGCCAUGGGAGCCGUGUGGCUGCGCCAACCGCUGGAGGCAAGGUGGGUGUCGGUGCAGCAAUGGGGGCAGCCGGGGUGCCUGACCCUCACGAUCUGUGGCUCAUAGGCCACCAUGUCCCUGGAGUGGGCGAUGAACAACCAACUGAGGUAGGCACUGGACUUGAAUAACCAGAAAUAAACAAGCACCGGGAGGAGAAGGCUGGGACCUGCAGGCACAGUGGGAAACUGUGACUCCUGCUCUCAUUUCCAGAACUCAACCAUGACCAUUGGUUGGAGGAGAGCCUUGGUCUCCUCGGAGAAGGGCCCUGCAGCACCACACACAGGUGUGAUGGACCCCACACAGGUGGGAUGAACCCCACACAGGCGUGAUGGACCGCGCAGGCAUGAUGGACUGCGUGCAGGUGUGAUGGACCACACAGGUGUGAUGGACCGCGUGCAGGUGUGAUGAAGACUCCCCCAGAGCCACUGUGGCUGCAUCUUCAGAGUAGCUCUGUCCUGGAGAAAGGACGCCCGCAACAGGAAGGGCUUUGGGAUCUCGGGUCUGAUGCCACCCAGGGACCCAACAUGUCAUGGCAGCCCCCAGUCAGCAUGGGGGCCUGGGGAUGCCAAGUGACCGAUGGGGUCCCCCCAGUCAGCGUGGGGGCCUGGGGAUGCCAAGUGACCGAUGGGGUCCCCCCAGUCAGCGUGGGGGCCUGGGGAUGCCAAGUGACC
Molecule: long non-coding RNA, 1732 nt
Organism: Homo sapiens (human)
Lineage: Eukaryota; Metazoa; Chordata; Mammalia; Primates; Hominidae
Exons: 3
Source: RefSeq, a predicted model, not a curated record